RNAcentral lists this ribosomal RNA (427 nucleotides) under uncultured bacterium. RNAcentral describes it as "bacterial SSU rRNA". It matches the Rfam family "Bacterial small subunit ribosomal RNA", at positions 355 to 774 of the family's 1533-position model. The record is from RNAcentral.
UGGGGAAUUUUGGACAAUGGGGGCAACCCUGAUCCAGCCAUGCCGCGUGAGUGAAGAAGGCCUUCGGGUUGUAAAGCUCUUUCGGCCGGGAGGAAAUCGCAUAGGUUUAUACCCUGUGUGGAUGACAGUACCGGAAUAAGAAGCACCGGCUAACUACGUGCCAGCAGCCGCGGUAAUACGUAGGGUGCGAGCGUUAAUCGGAAUUACUGGGCGUAGAGCGUGCGCAGGCGGUUUUUUAAGACAGGCGUGAAAUCCCCGGGCUCAACCUGGGAACUGCGCUUGUGACUGGAAGGCUAGAGUAUGGCAGAGGGGGGUGGAAUUCCACGUGUAGCAGUGAAACGCGUAGAGAUGUGGAGGAGCACCGAUGGCGAAGGCAGCCCCCUGGGCCAAUACUGACGCUCAUGCACGAAAGCGUGGGGAGCAAACA